AGCAGCCGCGGUAAUUCCAGCUCCAAUAGCGUAUAUUAAAGUUGCUGCAGUUAAAAAGCUCGUAGUUGAAUUUCGGGACCAUCAUGUCGGUCGUGCCUCGGUACGUACUGGCAUUGUUGGUUUCUACCUUCUGACGAACCAUGAUGUCAUUUAUUUGGUGUCGUGGGAAAUCAGGACUGUUACUUUGAAAAAAUUAGAGUGUUUAAAGCAGGCUCACGCUUGAAUACAUUAGCAUGGAAUAAUGAAAUAGGACGUUUGAUUCUAUUUUGUUGGUUUCUAGGAUCGACGUAAUGAUUAAUAGGGAUAGUUGGGGGCAUUAGUAUUCAAUUGUCAGAGGUGAAAUUCUUGGAUUUAUUGAAGACUAACUACUGCGAAAGCAUUUGCCAAGGAUGUUUUCAUUAAUCAAGAACGAAAGUUAGGGAUCGAAGACGAUCAGAUACCGUCGUAGUC
RNAcentral lists this ribosomal RNA (450 nucleotides) under uncultured Glomeromycotina. RNAcentral describes it as "SSU rRNA". It matches the Rfam family "Eukaryotic small subunit ribosomal RNA", at positions 569 to 1025 of the family's 1831-position model. The record is from RNAcentral. Lineage: Eukaryota; Fungi; Glomeromycota.